Molecule: ribosomal RNA, 253 nt
Filed under: uncultured bacterium
Lineage: Bacteria
Description: partial 16S ribosomal RNA
Rfam family: Bacterial small subunit ribosomal RNA
Source: RNAcentral
UACGUAGGGGGCAAGCGUUGUCCGGAAUCAUUGGGCGUAAAGCGCGUGUAGGCGGCCAGAAAAGUCCGCUGUGAAAACUCGAGGCUCAACUUCGAGCUGUCGGUGGAAACUUUCUGGCUAGAGUCCGGAAGAGGAGAAUGGAAUUCCUGGUGUAGCGGUGAAAUGCGCAGAUAUCAGGAAGAACACCCGUGGCGAAAGCGGCUCUCUGGAACGGUACUGACGCUGAGACGCGAAAGCGUGGGGAGCGAACAGG